UAUUGAAAGGUAUAAAAACCUACCAUAAGCACAAUUUCAGUCUUUCGAACGUUUCUAGAGUAGAGGAUAUGUGGCUGGUUGAAUUUGUUUGGGGGGUAACUAUCCGCAUCAACUCAUAGCAAAAUGCUUCAAAAACACUCUACGAACUCCAGUGUCGACCAGCCACCAUGAGUGUAAAUUGGCCGUUUGAACGGACUCCCAUCUUAACUAACGUGGAUGGACGUCAGAAGUUCUAUGGGCUGUGUCCACUCAAGAGUGUUGUGGCCUCAGAGGGUGAAUGGACAGUUGCUUGGUCUGCCAACCUGGGUGUGAUCCUAUGAAAAUGUUCCAAGGAAGUUACUCCCAUGAGAGCAGUGCCGGAGGGUCAAGAGAACUGUUGAUUGGUCUGCCAACCUGGAUGUGAACCCCUGGAAUUAGAUCAGGUAAUGGGGUCAAAGAUGUGCCAAGGACAGGACUGAAGAAUUGAAAUUCACCAAAUGAAUGAUCAGUGACUGACAAAGAAACAAGUUCAAUACAAACAUAUGAAAAUGUAAAGUUUAAUGGCGUACUUAAAACCAAGAAAAGUCACAGGGCUCUAAGCCCCACAGUUAAUCAGUGUGAAAGGCUGAAUUGUAAGGUGCUUUCUUGAGUGUGUCCAGGAAGAACUGCUCGUCCUGCAGGAAGUCACGAUCCUAAGAAGAUAAAACCAGUAAAUUAUAUACAAUAAAGAUUUUGAAAC
Molecule: long non-coding RNA, 718 nt
Organism: Salmo salar (Atlantic salmon)
Lineage: Eukaryota; Metazoa; Chordata; Actinopteri; Salmoniformes; Salmonidae
Source: RefSeq, a predicted model, not a curated record